GGAACAGGAUGGGUCAACAACAAUGCUGUAACAGGGAACUGAAGACAGCUGAGCUCAAAUCCUUCAGUGGGUGAGGCAUGACCUGAGGUAUUUUGGUACUGUGCUAGAAUUCUCCAGGCAAGACGUGGAACACACACAGCCCUAUCACAAAGCAACCUGAAGAUAAUCAAAUGAAAUCUCAACACAUCAAAAGCAAACCAAGCCAACUCUCAGGAACAGGAAAGAGCUACACAAUUAUGCAACCUGUUUCUCGAGAACACUUUUUUGGGCAGCAUGCCCACCUUUCUUGUGUAGUGGGGGAUACAAAGGCAUAGCCCUGCCUGCAGAAUGUUAAUACUGCUGAAGGAAACAGAAAAGGAUUGGGAGAGUAAGCUGUGGGGUCAGCCUGCCUGGGUUGGAAUCUGGGUUCCAUUACUAACCAGCUGGUGGUCGGGAGCAAAUCCUUUGACCUCUCCAAGCUCUUUUCUCAUUUGUAAAGUGGGCAGAGACAGCAUAGUCCAUGAACUUCCACACAGUGCCUGGCACAGCACAAACCCUCCAGCAAUAGCGGUUACAGUCACUGAUCACGCUAACACGGCACUGGGCCUCAGUAGUUCUAGAGAACAUAAAGGAUGUCUUGUGGGCCGGAGCAGCAAAGGACAUCAUUUAGAUAAGGAGACGGGGAGUGGGAGGAGAGAGGGGCAGUGAACCUGGCCUAAGUGAAAAUGUGGGGAGACAGAUGAGGUAGGAUCAAUGUAUGGUGUGUGGACUGGAAUGGUAUUUAACCUGGGAAAUGCCAGGGAGGCAUUCCAGUCUGUCAGCUUUAUGUGUUAAGCUAAAGAAUCUAGAUUUUUCUAUGGGAAGCAAUGAGGAGCUAGUAAAAUAAGAAAGUAACAUUAAACUGUAAUGAUGAUUUUCUCUCAUUUGUCUAAAUUUAACUGGAAAAGUAGACUAGUGAUUUCCAAAGUUUAAUCUGAAUAUUAAUCAUGAAGGGAUCAUAUUAAAGUAAAUACAAGUGACUCAGUGGGCUGAGAUUAGCAUUGCCAAUGAGUCCCUGAGCUGAUACCUGUCUCUAGAGCUCACUGUAAAGUAUAUUUAUUCAAGGUACUUUGGUUAAAGAGAAUGGCUGGGUAAGAGAGAGGUAGACAAGAUGUCAGAACUUAAGGGUGCAAACACAUAGGCUUCUAUGUUAUAGAUAAAAACAAAACAACAAAAACCAAAAAAAACAAAAAACCACGUAGUCCUAGAAAUCUUCAAUCUGAUUUAGGAUAACAAUUUUGAGAUGCUUCUUAAUUAUGAACUUAUUUUUCCAUAACAUUUAAACAAUUUUGAGGCAGAAGGAGAAGGGCCUUGACUUCAAGGCCAGCUUGGGCUACUUAGCAUAUGGCAGGCCACUUUGGGCAGCAGAAGAAAACUCUAUUUUGAAAAAAAAAGAAGCAAAAUAAUUUUAAGUAUCUCAUAAAGUAUAAAGUUCCUUUAGCAAAUGCACACUUUAUUUGAUAAAUCUAACACACUAUGUGAUUAAAAUUCCAACCCCAAAGUUCCAUGAAUGGAAAAAACCUAAAAAAUUGAUUCCUUUUGCUGUAAAGAAAAGCUGCAUGAAUACGUUCAUGAUGUGUGGCUAUUAAUAACACCAAGGAUGACUGAAUGGGUUAGCAACAUUUGGUCACAGAAAGAAACCAUGGUUGCGGUCUCUUAUGUGACAGUUGAAUUAAAAGAAAAAUGUUCCUUGUGCUUGUACCACAGAGUCCAGAUAUUCAGCCACAUAUGUAGAUGAGGAGCUGGAGACAGUGGCCAUGACACUUGCUGCAGUGACAUCUCAAAACUGAACCUAGGACUGGACAGCUGUCACACCACACAAUGUCAUCUUGAGAACAGUCUUUUUUCCAUUGACAGAGCACAUCUGUAUUCAUACUUUGGAGGCUUAUGAAUAUCUGUGUUACCCAGAGAACAUAAAUGUCUGCUACACCAGGCUCCAUGAUAAAUGACCCCACCACGUAGACGGAGAAGCAGCAUGGCAGGACCCCUUACAGCGGAAAUGAAGAGAGUCCAACUGGAAAGGCUGGGUGAUGUGAGGGGAAGCAGGCCAGAGGUAGAGCUUGGACUAGAACUCAAGUCUUCUGACUCCUAGCUACUAGGAGCCUGACUCAAUUCCAUGACCCUGCAUGGCAUCAGGGUCCCACUUGCAGAGUAAAGCAAGCAUGCUCAUGACAGCAAAGUGACAAAGCACCCGUUCUCUGCAGAAGGAGUUCAUUUCAAACGUAACCAAUUGCAGUAAAAACUGAGCAGUGAGUUGUGUGGAGCAUGGCGAUAAAUAUUCGACCAUAUCUGUUCACGCUAAGCACACAUUCUAAUGCUAGAAAGAAUGUGUGCAUACAACUAACUGGGUAAAAGCACAAAGAUGGAGAUGUUCAGUGGAGGAUUAGUAGUUUAAAGCAGAAUGUUGAGACAAUUUCCUUGGUAGGGGAUGGGAAUCAUCUGGGCAGAGUAGAGGGUAAAACCAGCUUUCAAGACAGGAAGCGCCUUACUCACUGGGCCUUAAAGGAUGAGAAGAGUUUGUAUCAGGGUGGUUUUUAGUAUGAAGAAAAAAUACAGAAUCUGGGGCUCCUAAAUGUGAAAGAGAUUGAGCUCUCACUCCCACCAAAUCAUAUAUCUUUGAUGAUAGGAAGUGAGUUAGGGGAAGUAAAGAAAUCAAAUAAGAGACUCUAUUACAAGCCUGUGUGAUGGGGCCAUCGCUCUUCUCUGCCCACUUACUCAGCCAGUUCCUGCACUUUAUUUAAUUCCUGUGUCACUAGUUCUAAACUUCAUACUGGCAAAAUGACUGUUCCUCGAGUAGAAGGAAAUGAUUUAUGGCAGCAGGGCCUCACCUGGCAAUAAAAAUGACUAGCAUAGAACUA
Molecule: non-coding RNA, 2876 nt
Organism: Rattus norvegicus (Norway rat)
Lineage: Eukaryota; Metazoa; Chordata; Mammalia; Rodentia; Muridae
Source: RefSeq, a predicted model, not a curated record